CCUACGGGAGGCAGCAGUGAGGAAUAUUGGUCAAUGGGCGCGAGUCUGAACCAGCCAAGCAGCGUGAAGGAUGACUGCCCUACGGGUUGUAAACUUCUUUUAUAAAGGAAUAAAGUGAGGCACGUGUGCCUUUUUGUAUGUACUUUAUGAAUAAGGAUCGGCUAACUCCGUGCCAGCAGCCGCGGUAAUACGGAGGAUCCGAGCGUUAUCCGGAUUUAUUGGGUUUAAAGGGAGCGUAGGUGGGUUGUUAAGUCAGUUGUGAAAGUUUGCGGCUCAACCGUAAAAUUGCAAUUGAUACUGGCAGUCUUGAGUGUAGUUGAGGUAGGCGGAAUUCAUGGUGUAGCGGUGAAAUGCUUAGAUAUCACGAAGAACACCGAUUGCGAAGGCAGCUUACUAAACUGCCACUGACAUUGAUGCUCGAAAGUGUGGGUAUCAAACAGGAUUAGAUACCCUAGUAGUC
Molecule: ribosomal RNA, 460 nt
Filed under: uncultured bacterium
Lineage: Bacteria
Description: partial 16S ribosomal RNA
Rfam family: Bacterial small subunit ribosomal RNA
Source: RNAcentral